RNAcentral lists this unclassified non-coding RNA (2517 nucleotides) under Hevea brasiliensis (rubber tree). The record is from RNAcentral. Lineage: Eukaryota; Viridiplantae; Streptophyta; Magnoliopsida; Malpighiales; Euphorbiaceae.
GUGAUUUGAAAUUCUCAUGGCGGAUGGACAGAGAUGUGUUUGACUUGAUGAGCUACAGUACACACAACACAAAGGAAGCAAAAUAAUUCAAGGCUGUGUGAUCACUAAUUAUUUUUCUUUUCUCCUUGAAAGUGUAGGAAAUGUAAUUAAGUGGCAAAUAGGCAUUGAUGGAGGAUUACUCCGUGGGCUCAUACUUUAUGGAUUGUGAUUAAGGGUCCACAUAGUCGUUGAGGGUUCAUAAACAACAAUCAGCACGGACUUCUACCGUUCUACCGCCCUGCCAUCAACGACGUGCACUCUGCUAUCUUCACUGACAGCUUUCCUUGAGUUAACCUGGAUUGGAAAAGAACAAAGCACGAAGCAGCAACAUCGUUGUCGAUCACAAAGUAGCAAUGUCACCAUCGGGCACAAAGCAACAACAAUUCUGAACAUUUUGCGAGUGUUUGUCAAAGAGGGAAAGCAAAGGAAAGGAAAACAACAUGAAUUUAGGAGAACUUGUUUCUGAUUUGUUGCCCUGGUGGAUGGCAGCUAAGGUGCUCAGCACUGGGUCUCAUCUCUAGGACUUUGCUCUCUGGACUUUGGCACUUUCCUCUUUGGCAUGGCCAAACGAGAGAAAAGUUGAGGCAUGGGGUGCUGGGCCUAAACAUCCCUAAUUUAGCGUAGCCAAACGCUGUCGAUUCAGUUCGGUUUGACUUUUCUAAAAUUUGUCUUUGAAAAUCGAAUCAAAUUGAAUAUUUUGGUUCGGAUAGAAUUAUGCUCACUUCAAUUAGGAGACAGAUUUUUGAAUAAAAAUGGAAAUAUACUUCUUUCAUCAAACACAUGCAUGCGAAAAAGAAAGACCAUAGGACGGUCCCAUUUAAUAAUUUUUAUCAUCAUAAACCAACACUGGCUCAACUUUCCCUUCCACUACCCUUGCUUAAACUCAAUACUGCUAACAAUUUGCAAGUAGGCAGAGGCAACCUACUAAACAGAUUAUAAUCACAGGAGGAUAGGAAACGUCUUUCCGUAUAACUCACAAUUUUAAUCGAGUGGCAGUUUGCCGCUUGCAUCAUCCAUAGACAAGAGAGACUUGAGAAGCCAUUUUCUGCAACCACAGGAAAUUAAUUUUUGCAAAACCAUUCACUUUUGUAUGGUAAAAAUUUUCACGUAAAUUACAUGUGUCGUUGGUUUGAUCAUUCAAACGGCUGAAGUGGAUUAUAUGAUUGUAUCAGAUCUCGGAAAGGCAAAAACAUAACCAAAACAAAUUGAGCAAAAGAGAGGAGAGAUACUUACAAAACAAAAUCUACUUUAAGUCUCCCCAAAUUAAUGGAAUCAUCUCAUCUGAGCAUGUUGCUUGGCGGACGCCGAUGAAUCCAUCUGCUGGCUAUGUUGGUUGUUGUCCUCAUGAUGUGAAUUUGCACUUUUUUCUGCUUCAGCUCUUUGUGAAUUAGCAUUUUUUUCUGCUUCAGCUCUUUCAAGCAAAGCCUGUGUUUGCAUAGCCUUCAUCAUCUCCUUCAUCGUCUUCUCCUCCCCUUCAAGCUGCAUCUUCAUUAUAAUUUCAGCUUCCUUGUCAAUUGGCUUAAAAUACUCCUCAAUAGCAGCCUCCUGCACAUUAACAUGAUAAUAUUUCAACAUGCAACAUAAUACCAUAUACAAAGGAAGUUCACUUUCUUGUUAACUACGUACACAACAGAAGAAGACAUUUGAUUCUAAGAUCAGUGAGCUAUGUACAUUUUUUUAAACCAGGAAAAAAAAUGAGAUGAAAAGCACAGAAGUGGAUGCAAUAAAUCCAAUCUUUGAGUUGUUGCUGUCUUGUCUCUGGCCUAUGCAUUCUUAGGGACUCACUCUAUUCCUUCUCCUGUUGAAAGCUAGUCCUCAUUGCAUUUAGAGUAACAAAUUCUUAGAUGAAGUAAGUUGAAAUAAUUGUUAGCUUCCCCAUUGUCAACAGAAAAACUAAACUAUAUUGCACUAGGUAGAACAGGGAGACAAAAAUCCUGGCCGAUUAAAUUGUUAAAUGUUCAGACCACAGUGCCUAUGCUAGUAUUAAGAUGUUCAGAAAAUAAGUGAAGGAGGCUUCACGGGAACAGUUUUUUGUAAAAUCUCAUCUAUUAGUAAGCUUAUAUUCCAACAAGGAACAAAAGGACAAUAUAUAGGAUAGGUAGAAGAAGUGGCAUUUUUCACGUACAAACAGAUCAAUCAAAACUUCAUAUUAGGAAACCAUCCUCAUAAAGUAGACAAACUUAUUGAAAGACCUUUCCCUCAAUCACGUACCCAACAAUUCAAUACUUAAUACUUACAGUUUCCUCUAGCUUCCGGUUUAAAGUUUGCAUCUCCUCAACCAUGCGGCGAACCUCUGAUAAUAUAGCCUGCUCAGGGAUCUUUCUCAAAGCUGCCUUUCUUUCUUGUGCCUGUUGGAGACUCUUCUCGAGCUGCAAUCUAUAAUUGCAGAUUUUACGUUCUUCAUACCCAGAAAGAACCCUCACAUAGAAAAGGGCUUUCCUUCCAAAAUCCAAUAACUUAUUCAUAUUAUGAUUCAGC